GACGGAGGGGGCUAGCGUUGUUCGGAAUUACUGGGCGUAAAGCGUGCGCAGGCGGUUUGCUAAGACAGGUGUGAAAUCCCCGGGCUUAACCUGGGAACUGCGCUUGUAACUGGCAAGCUUGAGUGUGGCAGAGGGGGGUGGAAUUCCACGUGUAGCAGUGAAAUGCGUAGAGAUGUGGAGGAACACCGAUGGCGAAGGCAGCCCCCUGGGCUAACACUGACGCUCAUGCACGAAAGCGUGGGGAGCAAACAGG
RNAcentral lists this ribosomal RNA (253 nucleotides) under uncultured bacterium. Its description in RNAcentral is "partial 16S ribosomal RNA". It matches the Rfam family "Bacterial small subunit ribosomal RNA", at positions 524 to 776 of the family's 1533-position model. The record is from RNAcentral.